Oreochromis aureus is the source of this 2926-nucleotide long non-coding RNA. RefSeq lists it as uncharacterized. The transcript is spliced from 3 exons. The record is from RefSeq and is a predicted model, not a curated record. Lineage: Eukaryota; Metazoa; Chordata; Actinopteri; Cichliformes; Cichlidae.
UUCCGUUACUCCCCAACACUGCACGUACUACAGCCCAUCUAAUUAGGUUGUGCUGUGUUGUGAAGGGGGUCAAGCUGACGUUUGACAGUAAGGCCAGAGCCACAGAAAACCGGCUACAAUCACUGUGAAUACACUCGGAGUGGGCGUCACCCAGUUAACCCGUAACCACAGAGUCAGGCAGUAGGAGGAUAUGGAGGCCAUCUGGAAGCAUUUUUACAGUAUGGUGUGGCACUUUGCCCAUGUGUGCUACAGGAGGGGUCGUAUGACGGUCAUGAAAGAGAGAGUCUCUGGAAUCCUCCAAGGACACUCACAUGAAUAUUCUCAGCCCAAUUUUCUGGGUCAGACCUAAGCUCAAGUGAAAGUACAUGACCUGAUCACAUCUGUCACCAGGUUGUGGAGCGUGAAUUAUCAAACUGUAUGACCUUUAAAAACUUAAAUGAUAUCUUAGGAAUUCUUCAAGCAGCUUUUGUGAGUGUGUGAUGAGACCCUAUGACGACAGAGGCCGUUUAAAAUUACAGUGCCUGACUGCCCUUCUUUUUUCUUCCUCAGAAACGCCAUAUGUUAAUAAGUAGGACAUUUUACUGGGCUGCUAGAAAGUUUGGAAAUGGUUUGAGGAACUGAACUAAAACUGGGAACUGAAUAUCAUUAUUACAUUAAUAAAAUGUGUAAUCAUUAUGCUCCAUAACAUAAAAGCUUUUCAGUUCUCUUUUUUACCCACUUAUUUCAAUGUUGUAUAUUUUUAUGUCUUUUUCAAGCUUUUCCACUCAAUUAUUAUUGAGUAUUCACAGCUAUAGUAAAAAGUAAGCGACUUGGACUGUAGCUUACAAGGUAAAAUAAAGCUGGUUGUUGGAGCUGGUGUAGCCUGUACGUGUAUAGAUGUACUAUUCAGGACAUUAAAGCAAAUGUAAGCUCUGCUGAGCAUUCGUCAAGUAAUAUUAUUUUCAUAUUUUCUCUCAUUCUUCCUCUAAAAGUGUUCCAGUGGUUGAUCAAUCUGGAUGAGACAGGAAAGCAUUUCUACCAUCAUUAUUGCCACUCUGGAAACAAGAUUAGUACUGUACAUCAGGAAAAAAAAUUCCAAGCAGAGCUUCCCAUUUCCAUUAUAUGGAAAUUAUGAGGGAAAACCAAAAAUCAAUUUUACAUGGGAAAAACACAAUAAAGAAAAUGGAGACUGCGCAGCUCUAUGGGGAAGUACAUAAUCGUGACUCCCACAUGGUGAAUUUAUAUCAUCUUCUUCCACAAUCGCUUUGCAUAAUGCAUCUUUGAUCAUUUUCCAAUAAAUAAUAAUUUAACACAAGUGAGUUUUUACUUUUGACACGAAAGAUACAGUUUGCUGAUAAUAUUACCACACUUUUAAGUAAAUGAUCAAAAUCAUCCAGAUUUAAUUUGUUAAAGCUGGUUUAUUUCUUUCCUCAUUGCAAAUGCAAUUAAAAUGAGAUGAAGAUGAUGCCCUUGAGGCCAGGUGUGUACAGUCAGUGCUUAGCAGUCCAUUCAGACGAUAUCAAUUAGAAUAUUGUAUUGAAAAAGACACGUUUUGGCACAAACUUGCGCUCAGAGUAGUCUGUUUCUCGCCAUGUUCCCUGUUUGACAGCCAGGUGGUUCAGCCUUUAGUGCACAGCAGCUUCAGUUAAUUAAGGUUACCGAUUUGGAUCUUGUCAAUGGUUAAUUUGCAGAUGAAAAAGAGGAAACUUUUUCCUGCUUCAGCAGCCUAAGCAUUGUUUUUGUCUUCUCUAACAGCUCGGCCCCGUCAAGUUGAACACAACUGAACAGUGCACGCAAGCCAGUGUUCAGAGGCACAGAUAAGGUUUACUCUGAGAACUGCUGGAAAUCAAUACUGAACCUAGACAAGCUGUUUAAUGUACUUUGAUAAUGUUUGACAGAGGCUUAUCUGGCUUUCAGUUUGUGCAUGGUAUGAGGAAAUUACUGGCCAAAGCUUUUCAUUUCUGGAGAAAUGUUGCAAAUAUUAGAUGAGGUAACUGAGCUUUAUUCUUAAGCAAAAAUGCCAAACGUUGCCUCUUCUCAUAAGUUGGAAUUUGACACUUUUCUUUUGCUUAAAGUUAAACUGAAUAUACACUCACUGGCCACUUUAUUGGGUAUACUUGUUAGGGCUGCCACCUUUUGCCUUGUGGCAUAGAUACAACAAGGUGUUGAAAACAUUCUGGUGCUCUGUUGAAUUGAGAUCUGGUGACUGUGGAGGCCAUUUGAGUACACUGAACUCGCUGUCAUGUUCAAGAAACCAGUUUGAGAUGAUGUGAGCUUUGGGACCUGUUGGAAGCAGCCAUCAAAAGUUGGGGUCAUAAAGGGAUGGACACGGUUAGCAAGCAGGUUGUGGCAUUUAAACAAUGCUUAGUUCUUGCAAAGAGGCCCAAAGUGGCCCAAGAAAACAACCCCCAGACCAUCACAUCAUUGUACCAGCAUAAAUUGUUGAUAUAAGACCGGAUGGAUCCACGCUUUCAUGUUAUCUAUGCCAAAUUGCUGUUGUGUAGCAGAACCGAGAAUAAUCAUACCAGGAAGUGUUUUUAAAUUUUGGUGAGCCAGUGCAAAUUGUGGACUCUGUUUCCAGUUUUAGCUGGAAGGAGUGAUGCCCAUUGUGGUCUUCUGUUGCUGUGGCCUGUCUGCUUAAAGAUUCACCUUGUUGUUCAUUCAGAAAUGCUCUUCUGCACACCUUGGUUGUAACAAGGGGCUAUUUGAGUUACUGUUGCCUGCUGUUGCCUCCAUGUGAGCGGCUGAUUAGACAUUUGCACUGAAGAGCAGUUGAACAGGUAUACCCAAUAAAGUGGCUGGUGAUUUGUAUUUUGGAAUUGUUGGCAAACAUGAUGUACACUUUGAUUGACUCUACUCUAUUAGGCGGUUUAUCUGGAUGUAUCUAUUCCUACUAGUUCUCAAAAAUAAGGCUGUUAUUGUAUUGUAUAUGAUAUGGAUGUAUUAA